This 252-nucleotide ribosomal RNA is filed under the name uncultured bacterium. RNAcentral's name for it is "partial 16S ribosomal RNA". It matches the Rfam family "Bacterial small subunit ribosomal RNA", at positions 524 to 776 of the family's 1533-position model. The record is from RNAcentral.
UACGGAGGGUGCAAGCGUUAUCCGGAUUUACUGGGUUAAAGGGUGCGUAGGCGGGCCUUUAAGUCAGUGGUGAAAUCUCCCCGCUCAACGGGGAAACUGCCAUUGAUACUAUUGGUCUUGAAUUUAGUUAAGGUGGGCGGAAUGUGUCGUGUAGCGGUGAAAUGCUUAGAUAUGACACAGAACACCGAUUGCGAAGGCAGCUCGCUAAACUAAUAUUGACGCUGAGGCACGAAAGCGUGGGGAGCAAACAGG